Molecule: unclassified non-coding RNA, 89 nt
Filed under: Pseudomonas brassicacearum
Lineage: Bacteria; Pseudomonadati; Pseudomonadota; Gammaproteobacteria; Pseudomonadales; Pseudomonadaceae
Source: RNAcentral
UGUGGGAGCGAGCUUGCUCGCGAUGGCAUCGGAUCAUCAGCAACUGUAUUGACUGACACACCGCAAUCGCGAGCAAGCUCGCUCCCACA